This 205-nucleotide microRNA precursor is filed under the name Oryza barthii. RNAcentral's name for it is "MIR812 microRNA precursor family". It matches the Rfam family "MIR812 microRNA precursor family". Lineage: Eukaryota; Viridiplantae; Streptophyta; Magnoliopsida; Poales; Poaceae. The record is from Rfam by way of RNAcentral.
AAUAAGUGUAGCCAUGGUUUUCCGCGCCCAACUUUGACCGUUCGUCUUAUUUGAAAUUUUUUGUGAAAAAACUAAAAACAUAAGUCACGAGUAAAGUACUAUUCAUGUUUUAUCAUCUCAUAGCAACAAAAAUGUUAAUUAUAAAAAAAUUUCAAAUAAAAUAGACGAUCAAAGUUGGGCACGAAAACUCAUGGCUGUAUUUAUU